This 495-nucleotide ribosomal RNA is filed under the name uncultured bacterium. Its description in RNAcentral is "partial 16S ribosomal RNA". It matches the Rfam family "Bacterial small subunit ribosomal RNA", at positions 28 to 507 of the family's 1533-position model. The record is from RNAcentral.
GACGAACGCUGGCGGCGUGCCUAAUACAUGCAAGUAGAACGCUGAAGGAGGAGCUUGCUUCUCUGGAUGAGUUGCGAACGGGUGAGUAACGCGUAGGUAACCUGCCUGGUAGCGGGGGAUAACUAUUGGAAACGAUAGCUAAUACCGCAUAAUAGUAGAUGUUGCAUGACAUUUGCCUAAAAGGUGCAAUUGCAUCACUACCAGAUGGACCUGCGUUGUAUUAGCUAGUUGGUGGGGUAACGGCUCACCAAGGCGACGAUACAUAGCCGACCUGAGAGGGUGAUCGGCCACGCUGGGACUGAGACACGGCCCAGACUCCUACGGGAGGCAGCAGUAGGGAAUCUUCGGCAAUGGACGGAAGUCUGACCGAGCAACGCCGCGUGAGUGAAGAAGGUUUUCGGAUCGUAAAGCUCUGUUGUAAGAGAAGAACGAGUGUGAGAGUGGAAAGUUCACACUGUGACGGUAUCUUACCAGAAAGGGACGGCUAACUACGUG